Molecule: ribosomal RNA, 497 nt
Filed under: uncultured bacterium
Lineage: Bacteria
Description: partial 16S ribosomal RNA
Rfam family: Bacterial small subunit ribosomal RNA
Source: RNAcentral
GAUGAACGCUGGCGGCGUGCCUAAUACAUGCCAGUCGAGCGAACAGACGAGGAGCUUGCUCCUCUGACGUUAGCGGCGGACGGGUGAGUAACACGUGGAUAACCUACCUAUAAGACUGGGAUAACUUCGGGAAACCGGAGCUAAUACCGGAUAAUAUAUUGAACCGCAUGGUUCAAUAGUGAAAGACGGUUUUGCUGUCACUUAUAGAUGGAUCCGCGCCGCAUUAGCUAGUUGGUAAGGUAACGGCUUACCAAGGCAACGAUGCGUAGCCGACCUGAGAGGGUGAUCGGCCACACUGGAACUGAGACACGGUCCAGACUCCUACGGGAGGCAGCAGUAGGGAAUCUUCCGCAAUGGGCGAAAGCCUGACGGAGCAACGUCGCGUGAGUGAUGAAGGUCUUCGGAUCGUAAAACUCUGUUAUUAGGGAAGAACAAAUGUGUAAGUAACUAUGCACGUCUUGACGGUACCUAAUCAGAAAGCCACGGCUAACUACAUG